GACGAACGCUGGCGGCGUGCUUAACACAUGCAAGUCGAACGGAAAGGCCCUGCUUUUGUGGGGUGCUCGAGUGGCGAACGGGUGAGAACACGUGAGUAACCUGCCCUUGACUUUGGGAUAACUUCAGGAAACUGGGGCUAAUACCGGAUAGGAGCUCCUGCUGCAUGGUGGGGGUUGGAAAGUUUCGGCGGUUGGGGAUGGACUCGCGGCUUAUCAGCUUGUUGGUGGGGUAGUGGCUUACCAAGGCUUUGACGGGUAGCCGGCCUGAGAGGGUGACCGGCCACAUUGGGACUGAGAUACGGCCCAGACUCCUACGGGAGGCAGCAGUGGGGAAUAUUGCACAAUGGGCGGAAGCCUGAUGCAGCAACGCCGCGUGCGGGAUGACGGCCUUCGGGUUGUAAACCGCUUUCGCCUGUGACGAAGCGUGAGUGACGGUAAUGGGUAAAGAAGCACCGGCUAACUACGUG
Molecule: ribosomal RNA, 467 nt
Filed under: uncultured bacterium
Lineage: Bacteria
Description: partial 16S ribosomal RNA
Rfam family: Bacterial small subunit ribosomal RNA
Source: RNAcentral